CACAACAUUAGGCAGGACUGACUUCUUCUAGCUGAAUACUUUAUGUACAAGCAUAUAAUGAUUUUCUAGCCCAAAGUGGGUUUAAUUACUGCAUUUCUUUUAUUUUUAGAGAAAACCAGCUUCAGUUAGAAAGGGAGCUUCUAAUCCUUGCUGUUAUCCCAGGACUCUGAGAAACAGGAUGCUUGUCAGAAAGGCAAGAGCUGUGAAUGAGAGAGAAAAGGACAUGAACUUGCUUCUCAUGUGCUAGGAAAAAAGUCUUGAAACCAUGUCAAAGCAGAGAUGGAAGAACACAAAAAAGAGGUUUGUGGAGCCCAGCAACCUCUGUGAUACACUCAGUACUAUCCACAGUUCCCUACCAACAUUUUUAGAGGAAGGACCAUCUGGUAGUCAGCUGCCCAAAUGCACAUUGCUGCCUCCUGCACCCAUUCAGUGUUGUUCAGUCUCUCCCUAACACAGCGGCAGCUACAGACACCUCUUUGAGAUUUCUGUUCUUAAAGAGGAAUAAAUCCCAGUGUUUCUUCAAAAUGGAGAUGACAACAGGACCAGAAGGUAACCACGUGGCUCUCUGAGCCUUUUACUGAAAUCUCUCUGCCAUUUCAGAGAUGGUUUUGAUGCCUGCAGUCAUUCACAGGUGAGCCUACAAUGUACCUACCAGUCAGAUGUGUACUACUUCAGCAUGGUAUUUCUCUGUGCAAACUAAGACUUGAAACCAUAAAAGCUUGUUUUGGGACUGUCCUGACAUACCAGAAUGUCCUGACUGGACAGACUGAACAUGUGCUCUGAAAAAAGCUAAAUAACAUAACCUGACAGCUAAGCGACCUUCAUGGAGGACACCUUGAAAUGAGUUUGGCUUUCUGUUUAAAACUUCCAGGGAGACUGAUGCUACUUCUUUGAGGCAUCUCUGUCUCCCUCUUUGCAUCUUUGACUUCCCACAAAAGCUAGAUUUUGACAGAAUAAUGAACUUAAAUUUGAUCAAAUGCAACUGGGGAAGUUCCAGUUAUCUUUCUUGACUGUAGAUAAGAUCUUUACAUACAAAAACCCCCCAUAUUGUUAAAAUAUUUCCUUCAAAGAAAGGAAGCAGAAGGAGAAACACCUCCAGUUAUGAUGUGCUCUGUUACUACUACAGAGAAACUAAGGGUACAACUUAUAAAAAAAAAGCAUUGCAAGGAUGGCAAAAACUAAAAGUGAAAUUAAAUAAUAUGUAAUUUAAUAAUAAGAGAGCUGCAGCUGUUGUUAUCAGGCUUAAAAAAAAAGCAGGGAGAAUGAAACAAUAUGCCUGCCAGACCAAACAGCUACUGCAGUCCUGCCAUCUAGGAAAAAAAUCUGUCUAAAGAUCACACAUACAUACUCCACGGGUGUGUAUGUGAAAGUGAAAGCCCAGGGGUAAAAUGUAAACUAAAAGCCGGAUAUUCCCUGAGCUAAGCAACACUUGUUUGUCUUUUAAGACAUGUUGAAAUUUUCCCCAGCUUUCAAAUGGUAGCUGAAAACACACCAUCGUUUGUUCUUCAGUCUCUCACAAGGAAGUCACACAGACUAAAGGUUUGCUGAGCAAAUGUAUGACUUUUUCCUAGUCUGUCAGUUUUAUUUGAUAUUAGAUCCUUCUCAGCAGCACAUCACAUAAGACUGCUUAGUUGUUGGGCUGACACACUUCACCUUUAUUAGGUAAAAAAUCCCAACUAAUUUGUAGGUUUGAGAUACUUGUCACCUGAGUAUAAGUUUAUUCAGUGUUACCCUCCUGGCUGUAUCAUGCUGUAGGCAUUUCCUUAGGAGGUGGAUAGGCAGAAGGAAUUUAAAGAACUAGCUUCAGCCUUUUUCCUCUCAUUUUAGGACAAUGUAACUCCCUUUUACAAGGGAGAGCUGGCCCUGGACAGCCCCUUCCCUGCCACCAGUGUUUGGGAAGGGUGCAGGCAGCAAAAGCACUGCAGGUCCUGUUGCCUCGCUGCAGCCCUUCCCCUCUGAGGAAGUGAGUAGUUCACACUCAAGUUCAGGGACACCCUGGCAUGCCUCGUCACCACCAGGUGUUAACACUUAAUGCACCUCCCUUAGGUCAGCUGUUUAGGCAGCCUUUAAAGUCAGUGGGGAGGAUGCCCUUAAAACACCCCCAUCCACCAUCUGUAAUGACAAACUCUCCCCAGACUGAGACAAGAAUACCUUUUAGAGGCAUCUCCCUGCACUACAACUAGGAGGGAAGCACAGAUGGCUACAUAAGUCACUGACGUUUAAAACAAUCCCUUAGGAGAGUGUAAGUUACAGUUCAAUAUCUGGCUUCUAGAACUUACCUGACCACUAUUGCAUAGCUUACCUGACUUUUGUCAGGGGUUAACAUUUGAGAAUUACAGCUGUGUUUUGAUGGUCCAUGUAUGUCAGCUUAGAUAUAAAUUAAUGUAUUAAGUAAGGACCUUAAAGAGCUUCUUUGAACACUCUCACCUUAAAAAUAGCAACAUUAAAAUAUGUGAUUUUUUUGUACAGGCACAAAGCUGUAGCUGACUGGGAGAUUUAAUGCCUGGAGAAUGCAUGUCAAAGACUUUGCUGCUGUAAGCUUGAAUUGGCACUUCUGAUGUUAUUUGAGGGGAAAAAAAAUCCAUUCUUACAGCAAAAAAAAAAAAAAAAAAAAAGCCGAAUAUUUCUGAAGAAAAUACAAAUGGUCAGUCAUUCUGCAGCUUGGUUUCCAAAGAGAGGCCAAUAUCUGCACUGCCCUCAUGUUGCGACAUGGACGGACAGUAAAAUGCCACAACCUUCCUGAAGCAUCUCUGAGAGGAGGAUGCUCCACCAGGCACACAGCAAACACCACUCACACGCAGCAGCUGACUAUCUAAGUGAUGGAGGCAGAGGAAGGGUUUUUGUAUGGAUGUCCACUGGCAGUUUAUUUCCCCUGAAAUAAGGGGUCCAGAGAUAAAAAACAGGUACCCAGUGCAGGCUUAUAUAAGGGAACAAGGGGGGGGGGGGGGCCAACAGCAACAGCCAAUCAACAGAAGGGGUAGGUGGGAGAGUAAUUACAGAGACCAAUAGGAGAGCAACUGUAGUAGACAAACAGGGGUACAAGGCAAUGAGAGCACAUGAAACAGAGACGCUGCUAGAAACUGACCAUAUAUGGUAAACUGGGGGUAUAAUGGCCAACAGGGUGUGUGGCACUGGGGUUGGUUGACAGUAUGUCAGUUAAAAUGGGGGUCCUGGGAGAGGUUAGAGUCUAGGGGACAUUCUUCCAAGGCACAACCCCAGGAUAUCCCCUGGCAGGCCCACAGGCCUCCACACCCCUGCACUUCAAAAGUCAGUAACUCCAAUAUAUUCUGAAAAGUUGUCAAGGAAAGACAUUAGGAGAAUUAAACUCUUGAAAGCUCUGUGGAAAUCAGUGGCUGGGAAAGAGGUCCAAAUAAUUCCUCUCAGGGGGAAAAUAUGGGCAGAAAGAUGCCCUGUCUCUGGCCUAGUGGAGUCACGUCAAAUAACACAGGAUCAUUAAGAGAAAGAUGCUCGAUCUGCAGGGGGUUUAAGACAUUCACAGGAAACAGGACUUCAUUAGUUCCACCCCUCAGAGCAUUCAUUUUAAAGAGAGCUCUUUUCUCAGGAUUUGCCAUUUUGUAACUAAGGUUCAAUUUCUACUGGGACACCCUUUCUGCAACAAAAGUGUUUUAGAAGAUUACACAUGACUACACCUAAAUAAACAGCAGUUUUGAAGCUGGAAGAGAGAGCACAGCCAUACUGACAUUAGAAUGUAGCCUGCACAUCUCAGCUGGUCUGGUAUGAAAUAUUGACCACCAGCUAAGCAAAGGUAUUUUAUACUGCAUUUUACAAAAACAAGAAAGUGACCACAAAUGUGCAUGGUUUUGAUCUCCAUCACCACAUGGAAACACAGUUCAAAACAUUUCCUUAUGCUCUGAUAUACUUGAUACUAUGUAAUUACUCGUGAACAAUUGCAAAAAACACAGAACUACCAAAACUGCUUCUCUUAUAAAUGAAUGCAGUUUUCCUCCUUUUCCUGACAUUUCAGAACAAGACCGUGUGGUGCUUUUUCAGUAAGAAUACCAAAAUAAGGCUCAUAAAAAGACAUUUAAUUUAUCUGUCUGGAAUUUGUCAUAAUUUAUUGCAGUCAAUUGAAAAAGUACUAAAGAACUAUAAUAACAUUCUAUGGUGCUUUGCAAACAUAUGCUACCAUCACAGGCAAUUUUGCUGUGAUUCUAUUAUGUAUCCUGUGUUUCAACUUAAUAAAAUCAACACUGAAAUACAUACUUUCCAAACAAGGCAAUAUAUAGAAAUAUAUAUAUUCUUUAACUGUAAAUUGAAACGUCUUGUAUUUUGAAAUAAAGUAAUUAGGGUGCAAUUCCUUCAAACAAUAAGGCUUCAUAAUUUUAAUAAUGUAUCAAAUGCAUCUAUGCCAAAUAGCAGAAAUUUAAAAGACAAAACUUAUUACAGAAACACAACAUACAUUGUUGUAUGUAUAGAUUUUUAGUAAAGAAAAUGAAAUACAGCAGCAAGCAUCUUGCAGUACCACUAGAAUUUGCUUACACACACAGAACAAUUUUCCUUUGUCUCCCAGAAAGUUAACAGAAGAAGUUAGGAUACAACCCCUGCUGUUCUUCACUGUUUAUACUAACAAAAAGAGCUACAGAAAAUAUUCAAUCAGUAUUUAUGAUAAAACCCUAUCUGUUGCUGAUCUAAUAGCUAACGCCUCAGGCUAUUUUCUUACUCUAACGCUAAAUUCCAGUGAAUUGCUAAUAGUAAUUAUCUGGGAAGAGCAGGAAGACAGCUCAAAAAAAGUGCUGAAGUGCUGCUUUCCUAACUGCAGGCUCUGCAAGAAAACAAAGAGAAAUUAUCAUUUAUACCCUACAGUAUCAUUGUAUCAUUUGUUACAUUCAAUCCCUGAUCACUUUUGACAGGUACCAUAGGAUUUUGUGCUUAAGGCUCCUCUUUUUGGUAAAUGCCAGAUUGCCAGACAACGUAAGAGGGACCCUUGGCAUUCACUCUUUGGCUCUUACAUAUAAUUUUAUGUUCAGUUCCCUAUGUCUUACUGACACAUUCCAUAAACAAGUUAAGCAACCACUUGGUUACUGGCACCAGCCUGGGAGAUGGUAAAAAACACCUCGAAAUUGCUCAAGAUUGAAGUGGUAUCCUCUAUCUCUCAUGCACCAAUUCCUUUUCAGCUAUUUAUAACACAGGUUAACAACUGCCUUUUUAUUUUAGGAAAAAUUUCUUCAACUAAAGGGCUGUCAAGCUUAAAACAGACUGCCCAGGGAAGUGGUUGAGUCACCAUCCCUGGAGGAAUUUAAAAGAUGUGUAGAUGUGGCACUCAGGAACAUGAUUUAGUGGCAGACUUGGCAGUGCUGGGUUAAUGGUUGGACUUGAUGAUCUCAAAGGUCUAUUUCAACCAAAAUUAUUCUGUGACUCUCUUUUUUGAAGGAAAGCAAAAUCCCUGCCCUUAUGAGACACUCUGUCUUACUGUUAGAGAUGCUAGCACUGUCAGAAUUAUCUUCCAAAUCCAGGUACUUCAUGGAUACUGGCAUGAAGUGUCUAGGACCUGCCUGAGCUCUGACAGGAAGGACUGCCUGCCUGUGGCUCUGACAGCAGCAGUCACCACCUGCAUGAACGAAGACAAGCAAGGGCCUGGACAGUACUUGGGUCAACCCUUAAUCACAAAGCUGAGGGAGACCGAAGAUAAGCAACUGAAAUGUGAGGAAAAUUAUGGAAAAGUGACACCAGUUCCUCACACACUAAAUCAAAACAGCAUAAUUCUGCAUCCAGGGAGAAAUGCACCUGCAGUCGAUGCUGAGGAAAGCAAUUAGAUUUGAAAAUCAGGAAUGCCAAGAAGUGCAACUAGGUAAACAUUGAUGCAAUCUGUGCUGGGAAGAGUAAACCUAGUAUAAGAUAAUGAACUAAUGCAACAAUCCAUGGAGAAGAUUUAGAAUUAAAAAAUACAAUAACUGCAGUAUUUUACUGCCUCUUCACAAAUUAAGAUGUUAAGCCUGUUAAUAACGAUGCAGAAAAGGCAGAAGCUUCCAAUUAGAAUUUCCACUUCCUAUUUGAAAAGGCAGUGUAUUGUGUGAGAAAAUAUCUUCCAGCAACUGAAAUGGCAAAACAUUACUAGAAAAUAAUUAACAAACAACAUAUAUUAAAGACAGCUGACCCAGCCUAUCUUUAGGUAACUGAAAUGUCAAUAGAUUUUGGAAAGAUCUGUCACUCUACAGAAGGAAACUAGAAUGAAUUAGAUAUACAUACAAACCAAUUUUCCAACAUCCAAGCCAUGCUGCAGAAUUUAAAGGUUAAAAAUGUAAUUACCACUAAUUAACACCUUUUAUGAGUCUUUCAUUAAUCUCAUUUUGCUUGUCAGUGAGGUAUUUGGUUGACAAACCUAUAACUGAACAGGUUCAGCAUUUUUGUAGGGAAUCAUCACAACGAGACAAACAUCCAAACUCACAACCAGAGCAAAACUGUGUCUCUAACAUACACACUGGAUACACAAACUGCCAGCUUUCAACAAGGAGCUCUCCCACUGGCUGCCCAUCAAGUGAGCUUUAGGGGAGGCUGCUCAGAUUUGUGACAACACACGUUAUUGCUCUAGUUAAACCAUGCAAAGCCAAAGCUGGGCAAAGCCCACACAGAGCCAGAGUAAUGCAAACCACACACCUUCCUCUGAUUCUGUGACUGGAGAAGAUCCAUUUAUUCAGGCUAUCCAAAAGAACUUGCACAGAAAUAGUGCAUACAUUUCAAUAAUGACAACUUACUCUCAUUAGUAAGUACUCACACAAGUGGUAGAUUUGCACUCUACUACUACUCUACUACAGCAGACUAGGCAAAUUCUUGAAUGAAGAACUAAGCUCAGUCUGACUGAAAGAUAUUUAGUUUGAUGCCAGAUAACUUAAGUUUUAAGUAUGUAAAAUGUUAGAUCACCAAAUGGCAUUUGUCCCCUUUGACCAUAAGGUUUCAGACAGUAAUGCUGUAUUUUUCCCAAGCAGAAUUUUGCCCACAUGCAAAAGGGCACCUCCACUUACCAAAGAAAAUGCAAGCACCAUGAAGAAGACAGGUGAUAAGGAAGUAUUCCAGAACACCCAGAGCACCUCUACACUACUUGCAAUCAAGAGCUGACCCUCUCCAAAAUUAAGUCUCCAUUUCCAUUGUGCUACUUACAGUCUUCAAUCAGACAAGACGGUCCUUUCCCUAUAAACAGGAAAGAACACCCAACCCACUGCAAUGGGGACAGAGGGAAGGUUCUUGAGUAAAGGGGCUUUUACCAGGGAACCUCUGUGUGAAAUCAGUGACCUACUGAUCUCCUCAGAGUUGGUUCUACUUUUGAUGGUGUCCAGGUUUGUGAAAUGCAAAGUUCUUUCAACACUUUUACAACACCCCAUAAAUCUUUAUGUUCAUGAAGAAAUACAAGCUCUCUAUAAGCUCCUGACUACUGAUUUCACACCACUAUACUUGCAUUUAUACUUGCACCGUGUAAAUAAUAUUGAAG
Long non-coding RNA from Prinia subflava (tawny-flanked prinia), 7444 nucleotides. RefSeq lists it as uncharacterized. Lineage: Eukaryota; Metazoa; Chordata; Aves; Passeriformes; Cisticolidae. The record is from RefSeq and is a predicted model, not a curated record. The transcript is spliced from 3 exons.